RNAcentral lists this ribosomal RNA (468 nucleotides) under uncultured bacterium. RNAcentral's name for it is "partial 16S ribosomal RNA". It matches the Rfam family "Bacterial small subunit ribosomal RNA", at positions 28 to 507 of the family's 1533-position model. The record is from RNAcentral.
GACGAACGCUGGCGGCGUGCUUAACACAUGCAAGUCGAACGGAAAGGCCCUGCUUUGGUGUGGUGCUCGAGUGGCGAACGGGUGAGUAACACGUGAGUAACCUGCCCUUGACUUUGGGAUAACUUCAGGAAACGGCGUCUAAUACCGGAUAGGAGCUCCUACGGCAUGUUGAGGGGUGGAAAGUUUCUGCGGUUGGGGAUGGACUCGCGGCUUAUCAGCUUGUUGGUGGGGUAGUGGCUUACCAAGGCUUUGACGGGUAGCCGGCCUGAGAGGGUGACCGGCCACACUGGGACUGAGAUACGGCCCAGACUCCUACGGGAGGCAGCAGUGGGGAAUAUUGCACAAUGGGCGGAAGCCUGAUGCAGCAACGCCGCGUGCGGGAUGACGGCCUUCGGGUUGUAAACCGCUUUCGCCUGUGACGAAGCGUGAGUGACGGUAAUGGGUAAAGAAGCACCGGCUAACUACGUG